This 460-nucleotide ribosomal RNA is filed under the name uncultured bacterium. RNAcentral describes it as "partial 16S ribosomal RNA". It matches the Rfam family "Bacterial small subunit ribosomal RNA", at positions 338 to 795 of the family's 1533-position model. The record is from RNAcentral.
CCUACGGGAGGCAGCAGUGAGGAAUAUUGGUCAAUGGACGAGAGUCUGAACCAGCCAAGUAGCGUGAAGGAUGACUGCCCUCUGGGUUGUAAACUUCUUUUAUAUGGGAAUAAAAUGUUCCACGUGUGGGAUUUUGUAUGUACCAUAUGAAUAAGGAUCGGCUAACUCCGUGCCAGCAGCCGAGGUAAUACGGAGGAUACGAGCGUUAUCCGGAUUUAUUGGGUUUAAAGGGAGCGUAGGUGGAUUGUUAAGUCAGUUGUGAAAGUUUGGGGCUCAACCGGAAAAUUGCAGUUGAAACUGGCAGGCUUGAGUACAGUAGAGGUGGGCGGAAUUCGUGGUGUAGCGGUGAAAUGCGUAGAUAUCACGAAGAACUCCGAUUGCGAAGGCAGCUCACUGGACUGCAACUGACGCUGAGGCUCGAAAGUGUGGGUAUCAAACAGGAUUAGAUACCCGAGUAGUC